GAUGAACGCUGGCGGCGUGCCUAAUACAUGCAAGUCGAGCGAACAGACGAGGAGCUUGCUCCUCUGACGUUAGCGGCGGACGGGUGAGUAACACGUGGAUAACCUACCUAUAAGACUGGGAUAACUUCGGGAAACCGGCGCUAAUACCGGAUAAUAUAUUGAACCGUAUGGUUCAAUAGUAAAAGACGGUUUUGCUGUCACUUCUAGAUGGUUCCGGGCCGCAUUAGCUAGUUGGUAAGGUAACGGCUUACCAGGGGAACGAUGCGUAGCCGAGCUGCGAGGGUGAUCGGCCACACUGGAACUGAGACACGGUCCAGACGCCUACGGGAGGCAGCAGUAGGGAAUCUUCCGCAAUGGGCGAAAGCCUGACGGAGCAACGCCGCGUGAGUGAUGAAGGUCUUCGGAUCGUAAAACUCUGUUAUUAGGGAAGAACAAAUGUGUAAGUAACUAUGCACGUCUUGACGGUACCUAAUCAGAAAGCCACGGCUAACUACGUG
RNAcentral lists this ribosomal RNA (497 nucleotides) under uncultured bacterium. Its description in RNAcentral is "partial 16S ribosomal RNA". It matches the Rfam family "Bacterial small subunit ribosomal RNA", at positions 28 to 507 of the family's 1533-position model. The record is from RNAcentral.